This 1408-nucleotide ribosomal RNA is filed under the name Lactiplantibacillus plantarum. Its description in RNAcentral is "bacterial SSU rRNA". It matches the Rfam family "Bacterial small subunit ribosomal RNA", at positions 59 to 1434 of the family's 1533-position model. Lineage: Bacteria; Bacillati; Bacillota; Bacilli; Lactobacillales; Lactobacillaceae. The record is from RNAcentral. RNAcentral also lists the same sequence under 1 other name.
CAGUCGACGAACUCUGGUAUUGAUUGGUGCUUGCAUCAUGAUUUACAUUUGAGUGAGUGGCGAACUGGUGAGUAACACGUGGGAAACCUGCCCAGAAGCGGGGGAUAACACCUGGAAACAGAUGCUAAUACCGCAUAACAACUUGGACCGCAUGGUCCGAGUUUGAAAGAUGGCUUCGGCUAUCACUUUUGGAUGGUCCCGCGGCGUAUUAGCUAGAUGGUGGGGUAACGGCUCACCAUGGCAAUGAUACGUAGCCGACCUGAGAGGGUAAUCGGCCACAUUGGGACUGAGACACGGCCCAAACUCCUACGGGAGGCAGCAGUAGGGAAUCUUCCACAAUGGACGAAAGUCUGAUGGAGCAACGCCGCGUGAGUGAAGAAGGGUUUCGGCUCGUAAAACUCUGUUGUUAAAGAAGAACAUAUCUGAGAGUAACUGUUCAGGUAUUGACGGUAUUUAACCAGAAAGCCACGGCUAACUACGUGCCAGCAGCCGCGGUAAUACGUAGGUGGCAAGCGUUGUCCGGAUUUAUUGGGCGUAAAGCGAGCGCAGGCGGUUUUUUAAGUCUGAUGUGAAAGCCUUCGGCUCAACCGAAGAAGUGCAUCGGAAACUGGGAAACUUGAGUGCAGAAGAGGACAGUGGAACUCCAUGUGUAGCGGUGAAAUGCGUAGAUAUAUGGAAGAACACCAGUGGCGAAGGCGGCUGUCUGGUCUGUAACUGACGCUGAGGCUCGAAAGUAUGGGUAGCAAACAGGAUUAGAUACCCUGGUAGUCCAUACCGUAAACGAUGAAUGCUAAGUGUUGGAGGGUUUCCGCCCUUCAGUGCUGCAGCUAACGCAUUAAGCAUUCCGCCUGGGGAGUACGGCCGCAAGGCUGAAACUCAAAGGAAUUGACGGGGGCCCGCACAAGCGGUGGAGCAUGUGGUUUAAUUCGAAGCUACGCGAAGAACCUUACCAGGUCUUGACAUACUAUGCAAAUCUAAGAGAUUAGACGUUCCCUUCGGGGACAUGGAUACAGGUGGUGCAUGGUUGUCGUCAGCUCGUGUCGUGAGAUGUUGGGUUAAGUCCCGCAACGAGCGCAACCCUUAUUAUCAGUUGCCAGCAUUAAGUUGGGCACUCUGGUGAGACUGCCGGUGACAAACCGGAGGAAGGUGGGGAUGACGUCAAAUCAUCAUGCCCCUUAUGACCUGGGCUACACACGUGCUACAAUGGAUGGUACAACGAGUUGCGAACUCGCGAGAGUAAGCUAAUCUCUUAAAGCCAUUCUCAGUUCGGAUUGUAGGCUGCAACUCGCCUACAUGAAGUCGGAAUCGCUAGUAAUCGCGGAUCAGCAUGCCGCGGUGAAUACGUUCCCGGGCCUUGUACACACCGCCCGUCACACCAUGAGAGUUUGUAACACCCAAAGUCGGUGGG